UACGUAGGGUGCAAGCGUUGUCCGGAAUUAUUGGGCGUAAAGAGCGUGUAGGCGGCCAGACAGGUCCGUUGUGAAAACUAGAGGCUUAACCUCUAGACGUCGAUGGAAACCGUCUGGCUAGAGUCCGGAAGAGGAGAAUGGAAUUCCUGGUGUAGCGGUGAAAUGCGCAGAUAUCAGGAAGAACACCCGUGGCUAAGGCGGUUCUCUAGUACGGUACUGACGCUGAGACGCGAAAGCGUGGGGAGCGAACAGG
This 253-nucleotide ribosomal RNA is filed under the name uncultured bacterium. RNAcentral describes it as "partial 16S ribosomal RNA". It matches the Rfam family "Bacterial small subunit ribosomal RNA", at positions 524 to 776 of the family's 1533-position model. The record is from RNAcentral.